Molecule: ribosomal RNA, 477 nt
Filed under: uncultured bacterium
Lineage: Bacteria
Description: partial 16S ribosomal RNA
Rfam family: Bacterial small subunit ribosomal RNA
Source: RNAcentral
GACGAACGCUGGCGGCGUGCUUAACACAUGCAAGUCGAACGGUAAGGCCCUUCGGGGUACACGAGUGGCGAACGGGUGAGUAACACGUGGGUGAUCUGCCCUGCACUUCGGGAUAAGCCUGGGAAGCUGGGUCUAAUACCGGAUAGGACCACUGCCUGCAUGGGUGGUGGUGGAAAGCUUUUGCGGUGUGGGAUGGGCCCGCGGCCUAUCAGCUUGUUGGUGGGGUGAUGGCCUACCAAGGCGACGACGGGUAGCCGGCCUGAGAGGGUGACCGGCCACACUGGGACUGAGAUACGGCCAGACUCCUACGGGAGGCAGCAGUGGGGAAGAUUGCACAAUGGGCGCAAGGCUGAUGCAGCGACGCCGCGUGAGGGAUGACGGCCUUCGGGUUGUAAACCUCUUUCAGCACCGACGAAGCGCAAGUGACGGUAGGUGCAGAAGAAGGACCGGCCAACUACGUGCCAGCCGCCGCGGUAA